CAGCCGCCGCGGUAAUACCGGCAGCACGAGUGAUGGCCGAUAUUAUUGGGCCUAAAGCGUCCGUAGCUUGCUGUGUAAGUCCAUUGGGAAAUCGACGCGCUCAACGCGUCGGCGUCCGGUGGAAACUACACAGCUUGGGGCCGAGAGACUUGACGGGUACGUCCGGGGUAGGAGUGAAAUCCCGUAAUCCUGGACGGACCACCAAUGGGGAAACCACGUCAAGAGACCGGACCCGACAGUGAGGGACGAAAGCCAGGGUCUCGAACCGGAUUAGAUACCCGGGUAGUCCUGGCUGUAAACAAUGCUCGCUAGGUAUGUCACGCGCCAUGAGCACGUGAUGUGCCGCAGUGAAGACGAUAAGCGAGCCGCCUGGGAAGUACGUCCGCAAGGAUGAAACUUAAAGGAAUUGGCGGG
This 414-nucleotide ribosomal RNA is filed under the name uncultured microorganism. Its description in RNAcentral is "bacterial SSU rRNA". It matches the Rfam family "Archaeal small subunit ribosomal RNA", at positions 459 to 872 of the family's 1478-position model. The record is from RNAcentral.